GACGAACGCUGGCGGCGUGCCUAAUACAUGCAAGUCGAGCGAUGAAGCUUGGUGCUUGCACCAAUUUGGAGAGCAGCGAACGGGUGAGUAACGCGUGGGGAAUCUGCCUUUGAGCGGGGGACAACAUCUGGAAACGAAUGCUAAUACCGCAUAACAACUUUAAACAUAAGUUUUAAGUUUGAAAGAUGCAAUUGCUUCACUCAAUGAUGAUACCGCGUUGUAUUAGCCAGUUGGUGAGGUAAAGGCUCACCAAGGCGAUGAUACGUAGCCGAACGGAGAGGGGGGUGGGCCAAGAGGGAAGGGAGACACGGCCAAGACUCCGACGGGAGGCAGAAGUAGGGAAUCUUCCGCAAGGGGCGAAAGCGUGACGGAGCAACGCGGGGUGAGUGAUGAAGGUCUUCGGAGCGUAAAACUCUGUUAUGAGGGAAGAACAAAUGGGUAAGUAAAUAUGCACGAAUUGACGGUACCUAAUCAGAAAGGCACGGCUAACUACGUG
This 496-nucleotide ribosomal RNA is filed under the name uncultured bacterium. Its description in RNAcentral is "partial 16S ribosomal RNA". It matches the Rfam family "Bacterial small subunit ribosomal RNA", at positions 28 to 507 of the family's 1533-position model. The record is from RNAcentral.